GCGAGUAUGGUACAAUGGCUAGCAUGUCAGCCUUCCAAGCUGAAGAUGAGGGUUCGAUUCCCUCUACUCGCACCA
This 75-nucleotide transfer RNA is filed under the name Alphaproteobacteria bacterium. RNAcentral describes it as "tRNA-Gly". It matches the Rfam family "tRNA". From Rfam's summary of the family: Transfer RNA (tRNA) molecules are approximately 80 nucleotides in length. Their secondary structure includes four short double-helical elements and three loops (D, anti-codon, and T loops). The record is from RNAcentral. Lineage: Bacteria; Pseudomonadati; Pseudomonadota; Alphaproteobacteria.